GACGAACGCCGGCGGCGUGCUUAACACAUGCAAGUCGAACGGAAAGGCCCUGCUUUUGUGGGGUGCUCGAGUGGCGAACGGGUGAGUAACACGUGAGUAACCUGCCCUUGACUUUGGGAUAACUUCAGGAAACUGGGGCUAAUACCGGAUAGGAGCUCCUGCUGCAUGGUGGGGGUUGGAAAGUUUCGGCGGUUGGGGAUGGACUCGCGGCUUAUCAGCUUGUUGGUGGGGUAGUGGCUUACCAAGGCUUUGACGGGUAGCCGGCCUGAGAGGGUGACCGGCCACAUUGGGACUGAGAUACGGCCCAGACUCCUACGGGAGGCAGCAGUGGGGAAUAUUGCACAAUGGGCGGAAGCCUGAUGCAGCAACUCCGCGUGCGGGAUGACGGCCUUCGGGUUGUAAACCGCUUUCGCCUGUGACGAAGCGUGAGUGACGGUAAUGGGUAAAGAAGCACCGGCUAACUACGUG
Molecule: ribosomal RNA, 468 nt
Filed under: uncultured bacterium
Lineage: Bacteria
Description: partial 16S ribosomal RNA
Rfam family: Bacterial small subunit ribosomal RNA
Source: RNAcentral